Molecule: ribosomal RNA, 464 nt
Filed under: uncultured bacterium
Lineage: Bacteria
Description: partial 16S ribosomal RNA
Rfam family: Bacterial small subunit ribosomal RNA
Source: RNAcentral
CUACGGGGGGCAGCAGUGGGGAAUUUUGGACAAUGGGCGCAAGCCCGAUCCAGCCAUUCCGCGUGAGUGAAGAAGGCCUUCGGGUUGUAAAGCUCUUUCGCAAGGGAAGAAAACUUAUCCUCUAACAUAGGGUGAGGUUGACGGUACCUUGAUAAGAAGCACCGGCUAACUACGUGCCAGCAGCCGCGGUAAUACGUAGGGUGCGAGCGUUAAUCGGAAUUACUGGGCGUAAAGCGUGCGCAGGCUGUUUUGUAAGUCAGAUGUGAAAUCCCCGAGCUCAACUUGGGAACUGCGUUUGAAACUACAAGACUCGAAUAUGUCAGAGGGGGGUAGAAUUCCAUGUGUAGCAGUGAAAUGCGUAGAGAUGUGGAGGAAUACCAAUGGCGAAGGCAGCCCCCUGGGAUAAUAUUGACGCUCAUGCACGAAAGCGUGGGGAGCAAACAGGAUUAGAUACCCGUGUAGUC